Molecule: ribosomal RNA, 494 nt
Filed under: uncultured bacterium
Lineage: Bacteria
Description: bacterial SSU rRNA
Rfam family: Bacterial small subunit ribosomal RNA
Source: RNAcentral
GAUGAACGCUAGCUACAGGCUUAACACAUGCAAGUCGAGGGGCAGCAUGGUCUUAGCUUGCUAAGGCCGAUGGCGACCGGCGCACGGGUGAGUAACACGUAUCCAACCUGCCGUCUACUCUUGGACAGCCUUCUGAAAGGAAGAUUAAUACAAGAUGGCAUCAUGAGUUCACAUGUUCACAUGAUUAAAGGUAUUCCGGUAGACGAUGGGGAUGCGUUCCAUUAGAUAGUAGGCGGGGUAACGGCCCACCUAGUCUUCGAUGGAUAGGGGUUCUGAGAGGAAGGUCCCCCACAUUGGAACUGAGACACGGUCCAAACUCCUACGGGAGGCAGCAGUGAGGAAUAUUGGUCAAUGGGCGAGAGCCUGAACCAGCCAAGUAGCGUGAAGGAUGACUGCCCUAUGGGUUGUAAACUUCUUUUAUAAAGGAAUAAAGUGAGUCUCGUGAGACUUUUUGCAUGUACCUUAUGAAUAAGGACCGGCUAAUUCCGUGCCAG